This 958-nucleotide ribosomal RNA is filed under the name Cortinarius chrysolitus. Its description in RNAcentral is "eukaryotic LSU rRNA". It matches the Rfam family "Eukaryotic large subunit ribosomal RNA", at positions 1 to 943 of the family's 3401-position model. The record is from RNAcentral. Lineage: Eukaryota; Fungi; Basidiomycota; Agaricomycetes; Agaricales; Cortinariaceae.
UGUGACCUCAAAUCAGGUAGGACUACCCGCUGAACUUAAGCAUAUCAAUAAGCGGAGGAAAAGAAACUAACAAGGAUUCCCCUAGUAACUGCGAGUGAAGCGGGAAAAGCUCAAAUUUAAAAUCUGGCAGUCUUUGGCUGUCCGAGUUGUAAUCUAGAGAAGUGUUAUCCGCGCUGGACCGUGUACAAGUCUCCUGGAAUGGAGCGUCAUAGAGGGUGAGAAUCCCGUCUUUGACACGGACUACCAGGGCUUUGUGAUGCGCUCUCAAAGAGUCGAGUUGUUUGGGAAUGCAGCUCAAAAUGGGUGGUAAAUUCCAUCUAAAGCUAAAUAUUGGCGAGAGACCGAUAGCGAACAAGUACCGUGAGGGAAAGAUGAAAAGAACUUUGGAAAGAGAGUUAAACAGUACGUGAAAUUGCUGAAAGGGAAACGCUUGAAGUCAGUCGCGUUGUCCAGGGAUCAACCUUGCUUUUGCUUGGUGCACUUUCUGGUUGACGGGUCAGCAUCAAUUUUGAUCAUUGGAAAAAGAUUGAGGGAAUGUGGCAUCUUUGGAUGUGUUAUAGCCCUUAGUUGCAUACAAUGGUUGGGAUUGAGGAACUCAGCACGCCGCAAGGCCGGGUUUUUAACCACGUACGUGCUUAGGAUGCUGGCAUAAUGGCUUUAAUCGACCCGUCUUGAAACACGGACCAAGGAGUCUAACAUGCCUGCGAGUGUUUGGGUGGAAAACCCGAGCGCGUAAUGAAAGUGAAAGUUGAGAUCCCUGUCGUGGGGAGCAUCGACGCCCGGACCAGACCUUUUGUGACGGUUCCGCGGUAGAGCAUGUAUGUUGGGACCCGAAAGAUGGUGAACUAUGCCUGAAUAGGGUGAAGCCAGAGGAAACUCUGGUGGAGGCUCGUAGCGAUUCUGACGUGCAAAUCGAUCGUCAAAUUUGGGUAUAGGGGCGAAAGACUAAUCGAACCAU